This is a long non-coding RNA of Nilaparvata lugens (brown planthopper), 2019 nucleotides long. RefSeq lists it as uncharacterized. The transcript is spliced from 2 exons. Lineage: Eukaryota; Metazoa; Arthropoda; Insecta; Hemiptera; Delphacidae. The record is from RefSeq and is a predicted model, not a curated record.
GUAACUUGGCUGAAAAAUAGUUUUUCAGAGGCGGGGGUAUGGUCUGGCCAGAGAAUUCGAACUGUAGCGCCAAAAUGCCAGACUGCAGUUCUGCGAUUAGCAGGCUUGUGUUUGCGCCGGCGCAAACCGUCCUGCUUGCUUGGCAUUCUGGAUGUUUUUUGUGAGUCGUCCUAGUUCAGUCUGUCUUGUCUUGUCGCCCCGUUGUUGUGCAGACCGAAUUGUGUGUUUGUCAUGUAAUUUCGAUCGGAAAUUUCUUGUAAAUAAUUGUUUGAGUGUAGUGUGUGUGAAUUAUGAGUAUAACAGCGUAAAUAGUGUUAAAUUGAAUUAAUUUGAAUCGGAUUUGAAUUUAUAAAGAAUCCAGUUUGAGCUUUGUUCCAAACACAGUGCAGAGCCUGCAAGUUGAACGUGAAAAGGCUGCCCGGAAGCGAGAACCUGUCUUUUUUCCCGAUUUCAUCCCACCCUGAACCUGACCAAAACACCUAAUAAAGGCUUCGAAGGGCAAGUAAUCAAUAUUGAAUUAAAUCUGGUGAGUUUUUUGCUCUUUUUUAUUGUUCAUUAAUGCAGAGUUUAACUGUACAAAUAACCUGGCUCAAAUUGAAGAUUAAAUUUUGCCCCUUGUUUGUAUUUGAUUAUUUGAAUAGUAAAUUACAGUCCUCUGGUAGCUCUAGCCUGAGCUUUGUUCAGAACAAAUAUAAAACAACAACGAAUAAAAAUAACCUCAUGAAUACACUAAGUCAAAUAAAUCUUUAGAAAAUGGUCUGCAUGGGCAAAAAAUGAUUGUGUGCAAACCAGAGUUGCAUAUUACAGGUUUUACAGAGAGAAAAGAAACACUAAUUUUGAUGCAUUCAGAAUCUUAUUGAAUAUUAUUAUUACAUACAUAGAAUUAUUAAAUAGCUCAAAAAAAUUAAUUAGUGUCUAAUUCACCAGCGAAUCUAUCGGUCAAGUGUUUCAAUGAUAAAGUCUCUUCCUAUCACCUGCGAUUUUUUGUAAAUAAAUUAUCAGUGACGGUCACCUGUUAUUUUCUAUAAUAAUUGACCGAUCGAUUGAGAUUCAAAUCGACGCUUUCACAUUUAUCUUUAUGUUGUUAUGUAUGUUCCGCAUUUACGGCGAAACGCGGCAAUAGAUUUUCUUGAAAUUUGUCUGGUAUGUUCCUUUUUGAAUUGCGCGUCGACGUAUAUGAAAGGUUUUUGAAAUUUCCCAUUCUAACAAUAGUCAACAACUAAUUUUAUAUCAGAUAUACCGGGACAACUUGGAUCACAGCUAUCUACUAUGGAAGUAGAAAUUGCCAACUAUGCCAUCCUAUCAUUUUCACUGAGUAUUUAAUCUCACCGUAAAUGAUAGCAAACCAAUGUUGAUGAGAUGCUGACGUUUUGUUCGAAUUGCAUGCCACUUGUGUAUUUCAGACAUUCGAGUAUUUCAUAGUACGUUACACUACAGAACUUGGUGAAGUUUCAGGGUUAUUGUGAUAACUGAUGUGGUUGGUUUUCAGAUGGCUGAAUUUCUGAUCGAACGUAACAGCUCGGUGACAAGAAAGAACGAAGACCCCUCCAUUACACCUCAUAAAUGGGAUACAAUGACCUUGUGCGCCUUCUCUACAACUGUGGAGCUGACAUCAACGCUAAAGAUAAGAUGAUACCAAAACAUAUUACACAGUGUAAAUGGACAGAUAGAAAGUGUGAACAUCAAAAGCCAUCGUGUGUGUUACCCAGUUUCCAUUCUGCUUCUAACAAUAGUAACCGAACAUCCAACAUCAUAACUUUAUUAUAUCAUCUCGUUAAUUUUGAUAUCACAUUAACUAAAAAGCUUUCCUCAUAAUAUACAAGAAAUUAAUACAUUGCCGAGAUUGUCAAAGAUGUGAAUUUUCAAUGUGCUUUGAUGCAAAUUAUUGCAAAAAACUAAUAUCAUGGUUAGCUAUGCAUAAAUUAAUAGGCAUGAUGGUCAUUCUUUACUGAAUCGAAAUAAGCUGUUAUAACUUUGUCAACUAUUAAUUUGGUUUUCAAUAAACUAGUUAUGAUCAGA